This 175-nucleotide ribosomal RNA is filed under the name uncultured Spirochaetaceae bacterium. Its description in RNAcentral is "partial 16S ribosomal RNA". It matches the Rfam family "Bacterial small subunit ribosomal RNA", at positions 1210 to 1382 of the family's 1533-position model. Lineage: Bacteria; Pseudomonadati; Spirochaetota; Spirochaetia; Spirochaetales; Spirochaetaceae. The record is from RNAcentral.
AGGGCUACACACGUGCUACAAUGGGCGAUACAGAGUGACGCGAAGCCGCGAGGUGGAGCAAAUCGCAGAAAAUCGCUCUCAGUUCGGAUUGGAGUCUGAAACCCGACUCCAUGAAGGUGGAAUCGCUAGUAAUCGCGCAUCAGCAUGGCCGCGGUCGAAUACGUUCCCGGGCCUU